Gallus gallus (chicken) is the source of this 4531-nucleotide long non-coding RNA. RefSeq annotates it as serine/arginine repetitive matrix protein 1-like. The transcript is spliced from 2 exons. NCBI's taxonomy places the organism in Eukaryota, Metazoa, Chordata, Aves, Galliformes, Phasianidae. The record is from RefSeq and is a predicted model, not a curated record.
GCGUGCAAGGAGGAGUUUUGGGAGGCCACUCAAAGAUGUCAAAUCGGGGAUUCCAAACACUGUGCGCUGUGCUUCUGAGCGCUGCGUUGGCUUCCAUCGCCCCGGUACGCUGAAGGAAUAAGCGUGGCUUACAGUGGUAGUUCCGGAGGUCCGCGUACCCAGUCUUGGUACUGGCCGAGCUCCAGUCUGAACGGAAGCCCUUCAGAGCAACGUGGCAUUAGGACUCAUGGCAUCAUAGAAUGGCCUGGGUUGAAAAGGCCCACCACGAUCACCUAGUUCCAACCCCCUGCUAUGUGCAGGGUCGCCAACCGCCAGCCCAGGCUGCCCAGAGCCACAUCCAGCCGCAUCCCCUGAAUGCCUCCAGGGACGGGGCAUCCACAACCUCCUUGGGCACCCUGCUCCAGUGCGUCACCACCCUCGGGGUGAAAAACUUCUUCCUCCUCAUAUCUAACCUAAACCUCCCCUGCCUCAGUUGAAAACCAUUCCCCCUUGUCCUAUCGCUACCCACCCUCGUAAGCAGCCGUUCCCCGUCCUGUUUAUACGCUCCCUUCAAGUAUUGGAAGGCCACAGUGAGGUCCCCCCGGAGCCUUCUCUCCUGCGAGCUCAACAGGCCCAGUUCCCUCAACCUUUCUUCAUAGGAGAGGUGCUCCAGCCCUCUGCUCAUCCUAGUGGUCCUGCUCUGGACCCGUUCCACGAUCGCUUCUUGUGCUGGGGGCCCCAGGCCUGGGCGCAGUACUGCGGAUGGGGCCUCGCAAGAGCCGAGUAGAGGGGGACAAUCACCUCCCUCUCCCUGCUGGCCACCCCUUUCUUAGUGCAGCCCAGAGCACCGUUGGCCUUCCGGGCUGCAGGCGCGCACUGCUGGCUCACGUCCAGCUUCUCGUCCACCAGGACCCCCGGGUCCUUCUCCGCAGGGCUGCUCUCAAGGAGCUCUUCCCCCACUCUGAAGCGGGCAUUCUUUUCUUAUGGCGCUGACGCAUGGGGGAUCGCUCCGCCCAACUGCGCGCAAAAGAGCUUCAGCUGAUGCGUGUCUCUUGUGUCGUGCAUGUCAAGGUUUUCCCAGACGGCACGCACGUACUCAGUACUUUCCCUGACAUCACUAACGUAGGGUUCUGCGUCCUUGCACGUGCUCGGUCUUUCUGUGGUGGCGGUCCUAAUCGGUGCCUCCGACCUUCGAUGGUCUUCCACGAUCGCUCUCCUCCGCAUUGGUGAGCACCAGGUCUAGUAAUGCUUCGCCUCUGGCCGAUCUGUCCGAUACCCGGAGCAGGAUGUUAUCAUCAACAGGCUGCAGCAGUCUCCUGGAUUGCUUGCAGCUCACCUUGCUCUUUUCCCUGCAUAUAGCUGGGUGGUUGAAAUCCUCCUUCCGGAGGAGAGCUUGGAGCAUGACGGCCCUUGUAGCUGAAGCCAGGCGGCCUCAUCAACGGGCCGGGGUAGCGCUCUUCACCUCUGUCAGUACGGCGGUGGACGCACCGGCGAGGGCCGAGACCUGUGCCCCUUCGGGGGAAUCCCCGGGGGCGUCUGGUGCAUCCACUCGGGCAGAUAUGGCAAGAAAGCGAAAAUCUACCUGAUGGCGCUGGAAGGGCGGCACUGCCCGCGGCCGGCCUCCCUUUGCUAUUUGCUUCGUUUCUUCUUCGCUUCAGCACGCGGGGCAGACAUCAGGAAUGCAAAUGACUGAUAAAGCAAGCAUCAGCCGUUUCCAACGUUAGAAAUGUUGUUAGAAAGAAAGGCUUCAGGAAGCGGUGGCGCAUUCUCCCGUGGGCAGCGGUGAGGACAAAGGAGUGACAAGCAAGUAUACAUAAAGUCUGCGUUAAGCAAAGUUGCAGCAGGCUUGGAAGCCCCUGUGGCACAGGGGGAGCAGCCCAGGUUCGGAUGCUAACGCGGAAAAGAGGAGCGGCAGAGCUCACCUUGGCAAGGUCUUCGUCAAACCGACCUCGCUGGCUCCUUCCCCUCACAGAGUAGCAGGGGCUGGCCGAUGUGUAGACUGUGUUGGGCCCCAUCAGCCUGGGCAGCGUGUAGGUGCCAGGACCUGCAGGAGGAGCAGCAGAGAGCGUGUGCGCGAGGGGCUGGAGGAGACGGAAGCAGCAGGGAGGGGCAGCCUGCCCAGCCUGCUGGUGGGAGCAGGAGGGAGGUCUCGCCCCUCUGCCAGUUCCUCCCUCUACUCUGGCACUGGGCCAGCGCCAGCAGCUCCGAGCCUGAGCAGCCGCAGCCGCUGCGGGCCCAGAGGUGUUGGUCGUGCAAGAAAGCUUGCGGCCCCAGCGCCGCGUCCUGCCGCGCAGGCUGUGCAGUAGGCCCGCUGCUGGUGCUGAGCAGCAGCCCGUCCCUGCGGGAUGCUCAGGCUGAAGGGUCUGCCUUUGCCAGGGUCAGCGUACCUGGAGGGUGGUCUGUCCGGAGGGGCUCCCGCCGGAAGGCCAUGGACUGCACCGGUGGGCACUUGAAGACGUGCCUGUUGGCUGCCUCGGUGCGGUAGUCACCUGGGGCGGAAGAGAAGAGGAAGAAAGCCGUGAAGCGCCGGUCUUCUUCUUCUGCAACCGCACAGGCACUGUCCCGAGGAAAGGGUCUUCUCAAGAGCUGCAGAAUUGCCGCUGGGGGACACAGGCAGCACGCGGGGACGCUCUUCUGUGCCCCGCCGCUAUGCCCUGCCUUGCUGUCCCUCCCGUCAGCCCCCUGCCGCUUGUUCUUUUUGGACACGGGGUCCUUGUGCCCUCGGCCCGUGGCCCUGGGCAGCUGUCCUUCUCCGAGGGCGUUUAUCGCUGCUCAGAGCGGUUUGCGUUCUCUCAAAAAAGACCUACAGCUCCAUCAGGGCGCGAGCUGGCCCCGGGCAAACGCGCCGCCCGCUCGUCUUGUCUGGGUGAAGUGCUGCACAAGUGGUACUCACUUGGUCCGGGAGUGACGGUGGUCUUCGUCGCGGGUCGUCCCCGGAGCUGGGCGCCCGGAGCCACGUACUUCCCGUUCCUGGUGAUGGCGGGCUCCACAAAGUAGCAGGGACCUGGCCCGCAGCUCCCUGCCGCAGGCGGUUUGGUCCCUCUAAACGUGUAGGCGGGGGCACGGGCUUUGGUGGGGCUGUGGCCCACAUAACCUAGGAGGAAAAGCAGAAGAGAGCACACCCCUGUGCAGCUGCACGUCUCAAGCUCCGUUGGAACAGGCGCAGUUAGGCGCCGGGCCCUGGCCCCGACAUUCCCUUCCCGCGUGACUUCUUCCUCCAAGAGCCCUGGAGGCGAGCUGUGCCGGGCCUCGGAGCGCACAAGAGUCAGUCCCUGAGUGCAAACGGCUGCGCGAGUGCCUUGCAAAGUCACCGCAAAAAGACAGCGGAGUUUUGGCCAGCACGCUGCCUGUACCCGCACCACGCGUGCAGGCACUCCACAGCGAGAGCCCCCUAAGGGUCAAUUGUUCUGCAAGACCCCGUAACGCCUCUCUACAGCUGCAAAGCUGAGUCUGCGCUGGCCAGAAGCGGGCCCCUUUUUCCCCGGGCCACAAGGAGCAGCGCCAGCGGCACCGGCCUUCCUCGGCCAGGCCUGGCUCGCGGCUGCGCCAGGGAGCCAGGAGGCUCUGACAGAACGGGGAAAGGCUCGGGAGCUGCUCUGCCCCGCCAUGUCCCCGGUGCGCCUCACGCCCUGGGGAUGGUGGCUGUACCUGUUGUCCCCGGGAUGGAGUACUGGGGCCCGGGGCUGGGGAACUGGGCCGAGAUGAGGCCGCGUGGGCGAUGAGGUCUCCAGGUCCCCACCCAGGCUCCGUCCAUGCUGGCAGGCAUGUGCCUCCAAACCUAAAGGCAAGAACAGAGGAGUUACUGACGGGCUGCCCCAACAGAGGCCGCAGGUGAGCUUUGCUUCCCGCCCCCCGCGUCUCCUCUGCUCAGCCGCAAGCUGUCCGCCACGUGGCUUGCAGCUCCUGAGCCGGAAGGGCCGGCAGCAGUUUCUCCCGCUCACUGCCAGUCCUGCCAGUCUCGUGCUGCAUGCCCCUCGCGCACACCGGAGCUCAGCCCGCACCCUGCAGCUGGGCUCUGCAGCCUGACGUGUGCAGGAGCUCUCCCUCACCUCUCUGAGCCUUGGAGGACGAGCGCGAUGAGGCUGAGCUAGUCUGCUGCUGGGGCUGCUCUCAGGCACAGGGCACGGCGAGCGGCUGCGGGCAGCACAGCUCACAAAUGAGGCGCCUGGAGCCAGCGGCCAGCUGUCCUUGGGGAGGGCCCGGCGUCGUCAUGGCAAUGCAUUGUGACAGCACACGGGCUCCGGGUGAUGUCAUCUGUGCUGUGACAUCUCCUGGCUGGCCUGGAGCCACGCCCGCCACGCCUUUUCGGCCUCGCACCCCAACCAGUACAAAGCCGUAGCGCACGCUGCCGACACCUGCAGAUGGACUGAGCUCUCACUUCUAGCCACGUGCCGCCCGGGGCUCCUGAGGCUCGGUCAGCGUCACCUGCAAGGGAGAGAUUACGUUACUUCGAACCUACUGGAACAUUUCUGAGAAUGACACUCUGUUCUUUGGAGCUCUGUGUGUAUAUAUGUAUAUAUAAAAAUAAAUAUACGAGAGCCCUAAAAGCACA